Molecule: long non-coding RNA, 727 nt
Organism: Cyprinus carpio carpio
Lineage: Eukaryota; Metazoa; Chordata; Actinopteri; Cypriniformes; Cyprinidae
Source: Ensembl
CUUUUGAGAUGGGUUAGAAGAGACUAUACUUGCUGAAGAUCUGGCCACAGAGAAAAUCAAAACCAAGAACAGAGAGAUAAAGGAAUUCCUUUACAGCAUAAAGAGAACAGGUGCCUGAGGACAUUUCUGAUAUGUAUCUGAUCAUCGUGAGCAGUAUGUGCUGCUUAAACAAAAGGUUUCCUCCCCUCAUAUAAAACACAAAAAGAGAACUCAGACACCACCCGGGGUGUGCGGCUGGAGCAGAAGCUCCUUUGUGAGGCUGUGUUAUAGGAGACGGAGCAGAACGGGGGUGAAGCGGAGGCAUUAAGUGUGGCAGACGCCCCUUUGUGUGUCGGUCACAAUGCUGAAGUGAAAGAAGGCAGGAUGCUUAACAUGCAAAUGAGACGAGAGAGAAGGGGAGGUCAGGGAAAUCACUCAAUGUCACAUUAACAAGUGCUCGUUCCAUGAUGGGGUAUUAAAUGCUGAGUGUGAGAGUACUGCAGCUGCAUCUCGUUCUGUGGCAUUUACCUCUGCCAAUUCAGAAUGAUCCCAAAGAGAUCAGUUCAGAUGAAGAAAAAAAAAAUAUGUAUAUCACUGAUUGAUUAUUUUAUCCCAUUGACACAUGGCAUGUGAUCAUCCAUCAACUGUUUGACCUUGUGAAUGCAAAUGAACUAUAAGGAGUGGCAGAAAUUACCUCACUAUCUCACCAGUCGAUUUUGUAGGUGCUUAGAAUGGCAUACUGUACUGC